ACGGACUCCUCGGAGUCUGCAGGAAAAGGUGGCCUCUAUUUAUAAGCUACCGUAUCAUGAUGGGUCCGCGUACCAUUAGCUAGUUGGUGGGGUAAUGGCUUACCAAGGCGACGAUGGUUAGCYGGUCUGAGAGGAUGAUCAGCCACACUGGAASUGAGACACGGUCCAGACUCCUACGGGAGGCAGCAGUGGGGAAUUUUGCGCAAUGGGGGAAACCCUGACGCAGCAACGCCGCGUGAGUGAUGAAGGCCUUCGGGUCGUAAAGCUCUGUCAGAGGGGAAGAACCGCCGGGUGGCUAAUACCUGCCUGGUCUGACGGUACCCUCAAAGGAAGCACCGGCUAACUCCGUGCCAGCAGCCGCGGUAAUACAAG
Molecule: ribosomal RNA, 372 nt
Filed under: uncultured Geobacteraceae bacterium
Lineage: Bacteria; Pseudomonadati; Thermodesulfobacteriota; Desulfuromonadia; Geobacterales; Geobacteraceae
Description: bacterial SSU rRNA
Rfam family: Bacterial small subunit ribosomal RNA
Source: RNAcentral